Molecule: ribosomal RNA, 440 nt
Filed under: uncultured bacterium
Lineage: Bacteria
Description: partial 16S ribosomal RNA
Rfam family: Bacterial small subunit ribosomal RNA
Source: RNAcentral
CCUACGGGAGGCAGCAGUGGGGAAUAUUGCUCAAUGGGCGUAACCCUGAACCAGCAAAGUCGCGUGGGGGAUGAAGGUUUUCGGAUUCGUAACUCUCUUUUAUAGAGAAGUUAAUUACGGUAUCUAACGAAUAAUCACCGUCGAACUCCGUUCCAGCAGCCGCAGUACUACGGCGGGUGCAAGCGUUACUCGGAGUCACUGGGCGUAAGGGGCGCGUAGGCGGGUUUGCAAGUCAGAGGUGAAAUCCUAUGGCUUAACCAUAGAACUGCAGUUGAAACCGGUAGUCUAGAGUAUGGGAGAGGUAGGUGGAAUGCGUGGUGUAGGGGUAAAAUCCUUAGAGAUCAAGAGGAAUACUGAUUGCGAAGGCGGCCUGCCAGGACAUGACUGACGCUGAUGCGCGAAAGCGUGGGGAGCAAACAGGAUUAGAUACCCCAGUAGUC